Hypanus sabinus (Atlantic stingray) is the source of this 4990-nucleotide long non-coding RNA. RefSeq lists it as uncharacterized. The transcript is spliced from 3 exons. The record is from RefSeq and is a predicted model, not a curated record. NCBI's taxonomy places the organism in Eukaryota, Metazoa, Chordata, Chondrichthyes, Myliobatiformes, Dasyatidae.
CAAUAAAUAAAUAAGCAGAUGAUUUAGGCUUUGCUUCAGAAAGAUGAAAUAUUGAGGGGGUGGUGGUGACUGGAGUAAAGAGAAAACAGAGCUUGAGCUGGAAAGCAUGGAAUACUGGGUGAAUCUUCACAUAUGAUGGUGGGUGAAGUGUAUAAGAGGCUCUGUUGAUAGCCUUUUCUACUACAACUGCUCUCACUUUUUGGCAGAGUCGAUCAGCCUGCCGGGCAUAUAUGGUUGCUGAGUGUGUCCUGGCCCAUCUCCGCUUGUGCAUUGGACCAACUGCUCAGCAGCAGGAACUUCCAUUGGAGCGGGAAAUAUUGAUGGCUGGAAUCUGCUCUGGCAUUUGAAGGGAGGCAUGCCAGUGGAAGAUGACUGGAGGUAAUUGUGGGUGAUCUUUGCCAAGACAAGUUGGGAGCUCCAGGUGGUGGUGGUGAUGAAAGGCACAAGUCAGCACAUCCUACUCCUGAUUCAUUCUCUCAAUCAGGCCAUUAGUUUGAGUUUGGUAACCAGAUGAGAACAGAAAUCUUCCGAAAACGGGAAGUGAGCUAUGGUCCUCGAACAGACACAAUAUCCCAGAGGAGGUCAUGCAGCCUGAACUCGUGCUGAACGAUGAGCUUGGGGGAGAGUAAUGAAGCAACUGCUUUGGAGCACAAUUACCAGAACAGCAGUGACAGAGGCAGAUGAAGGCACCAAGAGGUGGGGCUAGGGGCGGUGAGGCACAGACAGUGGGGCAACGUCUUGUUCUGAGCAAAAGUGGGACAGACAGAGACAAAGUCGUGGAAUCUUGGGACAUAGACAUCCACCAAAAUUAACUCUGUAUAAAUUCCAGGGUCUGUUGAAGAGAGACCCCACUCCAACACUCAGGGGCCCAAGGUGGCAGAAACAAAAAGCAGGUUGGGAGGACCCCACCUGGGCCUGGAUCUGACUUUUUUUGCAGCUCACCUCUGCUUCUAUUCCCUAAAUCACCGGAGCAGCUUUGCACAAGCAAGGAAUGACAAGUUUUGUCCUCAAUGGUAUCAAACUGACGAAGAGAGCAUAGAUCUUCGUGUUUUUGCUGCCAGGUCUGUCGAUGGGGGGAAACUAAACUGGGUGAAGAAGAGAGCCCAUUGGCUUGAUGAAAAUGUCAUGAAUGCAGGAGAGGCUUGUGGGAUCUCUCUAUACCAUAAAUGGGGGCUCUGCACCCUCCAGCCAGUGUCGCCGUGCUUUCAGGACCUCCUUGACAGCCAGAAGUUCUCAGUUUCCGACAAUGGGGUGGGAAAGAAAAUCUACAGAAGAGCAUUAGCAGAGUGCAGUUCCUAUGGCAACAUCUGAUGCAUCAACUUCCUGCUGAUGCCCUGUGCAUCUGUAGAUGUGAACUUCCCAAUAUUCAGGACAUUUACAAACACAGGUGCGAGAAAGGGCCCGAAGGAUAAUUGGAGACCUGAGUCACCUCAACCACAAACUGUUCCAGCUGCUACCAGCCAGGAAACAGUAUGUUUACGUACAUGCAACGGUUUAAAUAAACCAGCAGCAAUAGAGUCUGGUUUUGAUGGCAAAAACCAUUAUUUAUUAGUAACUACAUAAUAUAGUAACUUAAACAAAAGUUAGCAGUGUUAUGCAUAUAUGUGUGUGUGUGUGUGUGUGUGUGUGUGUAAAUAUAAUUCCCAAACUCAUUUAAGCUCAGGUGGCAAGGUUUAAAGUAUUACGAUGGUAGUGUAAGGAAGUUCAGUUGAAUGCAUGGAGUUGGUGAGGGGAGAGAGAGGUUUUUGUAAGCCAAGGUGAAAUCCACAGUAGGAGAAGAACGAAUAAGCGGUGUCGUUGUUCUUCCAUUGUUGGACUCCGAAUCCACUCUCGAGUUAACCAAAUGUAGCUUAUCACAAAGGGUACCAUCUUCGAGGGAAAACUACCACCCAGGCAAGGGUAAACACGGGAUCAGCCAUUCUACACACUGUGAUAGCUACUGAUCGAUCCUCAACCCACCCUCAUGGGCACUCGGACGUUCCAUCCAGUGACUCUUCUGUCACUGGUGUCCUUCCACGGUCGAUUCCAGCUGUGUGUCUGUGAGAGAGUCAUCUGACCUUGCUUAAAUAGACACGCCACGAAGCAACUGUAAAUAUCAACUGUUCAUCAUGUAACUCCACCUCUCUCUCACCAUAGCAACCCAGAAGCAGGCAGCAGUACUGUAGUCAGUCUCUCUCAUUCUGUGUCUUUUAAAGGCACAAUCCAUGUCCACAGCAUUAAAGCCAGGACCAACAGGCUCCAGGACAGCUUCUUCCACCAGGCCAUCAGACUGAUUAAUUCAUGCUGAUACAAUUGUAUUUCUAUGUUAUAUUGACUGUCCUGUUUAUUGUACAUACUAUUUAUUAUAAAUUACUAUAAAUUGCACAUUUAGACGGAGAAGUAAUGUAAAGAUUUUUACUCCUAUAUGAAGGAUGUAAGUAAUAAGAUCAAUUCAAUUCAGUGGCAGUUCAGGCAAAUCAGCAAGUUUGGAGAGCUGUUCCUUAAGGUUGUCUUCUACCAGGAGUUGAAGGAAUUCUGUGGAAAGGGGGAUCGCAGAGGCCAACAAUCCAAAGCCCUGACAUCAAUAUCCUGUCUCGAUUGUUCAGUGGGAACUCACCAACUUUAGGCCGGUUCUGGGCUGCCCGGAAUUGAUAAAUGCCUGAAGAAAAAAUAGGUUUACCACCCCAAAGACAAGAAAGCUGGGAGCAUUGCAUGCUUGCAGGGAGAAUCAUUCCCUCAAAUUCCCCUUCCUGCUGACAGGUAUCCUCUUUUACCAGGCACUUGACACAGGAUGCUCAGAAGUGUCCUGGAGUGCCACCUUAGAGGCAGGAACUUGCCCCCCCCCCCCCCCCCGUGGCAGUUGUCAGUCCUCCUGAGAAAGGGUGAAGGCAGAUAGUGAUCUCUGUGCUUCUCUCGACUAUUCGAAUGGCCAGAUUUAUGAGGAAAUCCCAGCUAUCCUGCUUAUCAUGCGUUGCGAUCUCACGCUGGACCCCGGUGCUCAGCCGGGGAAAGCGGUCAUGAGGGAUCUGUUAAUCCACCCCAUCUCAACCGCGAGCCUGCAGAACUUUACUGAUAAUCCCUCACUGGCCCCUUCCCUUGGCGCUGGUCGGCAGCAAACGGUCUGCUGCAAGGGAAUCUUGUUCUCGUAGAGUGUUGGACUGCCUGAGAGAUUCUCCACGUUGGCCAGCUUGAAUGCAUCCUCACCGAACUGACCUGGCCGGGCCUGGAAAGUCGGGUCACACUGGGUAAUAAAGUUUCUGCAGCUGUCGGGGUCAUCAGGGUAUAUGGCUGGUGGAGGAAAGGUCGGUUUUGAGCCGGAAACUGCCGAGGGAAUCGGGCUGAGGCUGACCAGACUGUUACUGAGGAGGAAGCGGGACUGUCCUGACUGAUUCUGGCUGUCAGUGGCGAGCUGCCGAACUGUCGCUGCAAACGCUGGCACCUAUCUUCCUAAACAACAUACACACACAAUGCUAGAGAACCUCGCAGCCCAGGUAGCAUCUCUGCACAUGAAUAACUUCUUCCGGCUUGCGAUUGCCGCGCUUCCCCAGCAUUUCUGCCAUUGACUUCACUCUCUUCCGUCUGCCGAACGAAGCCAUUCUGCAAACCCAGCCCCCACGGAUUUUCACUUCUUUCCUACCUGCCCAACUAAAUGCGGGGCCAGCCAGGUCAGCUGUCCUCUCUCCAAUGGCUCCAUGAUACUGUGUUCAGUGACGGUCCAGAUGCUAAGGGAGACACCGCAGCAGAACAAAUAAUCCACUGAGUUUUAAUAAGAACUGUAAAGAACAGAAUGAAAAAAAAAAUAAAACACUAGGCCAACAGGGCCGCUAACUACAACUCUCAGACUAAACGUUAACGCUGUCACUGCGGCUCGGAAGCAGGAACGGAAUACUAAACUCCCGGGCAGCGUCGAUCUUCGUUCCCGGAGUGUGGGCUAAGAGCAGAAGUAGAAUUACCACGACCCUCUCUCUCGGGUGCUGUAGCUGGUUCAAUCCUGAAGUCGAGUGCCAUCCGCCGGAUUAUCUCUGUGACCCUUUCACCCGGGUGCCCUGCCUUCCUCCCACUUCACAAAAAUAUGCUGGGGUUCGUGUUAAUUGGCCUAAUGUGCAGGGAUGUGACAUGGAAAUGGUGGCUGGAUCUCCAAUCAAGUUGUAGUUGUCCCAGCCAAUCAAGGACACACAAUGAUGGCCCUCUUGUUUUUAAGACAUACAAACCCAGUGUGGUUUGUUAGCUGUUGUAUUUCACUGUUAUGAUUACCAUUCUCACAGGAUUGAUUUUUUCUCUAGUAUAAGUUCACAACUGGAUAUCUGCAUGCUUCAGUUCAGUAUCUUUGUAAUGCCGUUCAAACUCAUUUAGUGGAAUGAGCAAAGCAGCCAAGCCAAUGUCCAAUUUCAUUUUUAUUAAUUUGCAGUUAACUUAUGGUGUAAGCCAUAUUGCUUGUCUAUUGUUAGUUUCCACACUGUAAAUCUCAAGGCUACCCAUCACCAUCAGAUUUUUCAUUAACAACAUGCCGAUUAGUGCUCUUUUUUGAAACUGCAACUUGACUUUUUAUCUUUUUCCCCAUGCAGUCCAUUUAUUUUUGUUUGCUCUUUAUAUGUGUUCAACUUUGUUGCAUUUUCCCCACUUUUCACCUUUAAACCUGUGUUGGUCUGGUGUGUGUAUGAGCCCCUGCCACAAGGUAACACAACUGGUUUGGCUAGGCAGGUUUUUAUUUUAACAUUGCAAUUUUGUUCUCACAUACUUUCAUUCCUGCCUGCAACUCAAUUGGCUUUCCGGCUGCUGUUUUUUUAUUGAAGAAGCGAUUUCAACUUCUCUUUUAAACAUAAGUUGUGCUUCAGUUAGGAGCAGUUUUUGAAAGCUUUCUUGUAAGAUUCCCCAAACUAAACAAUCUCUCAGAGCAUCAUGAAGCUCAUCGCUGAACUGACAAUGCUCAAACAAUCCCUUCAAUUCAGUCAUUAAAGCUGAAAUAGACUCCCCAUCCUUCUGAUUCUACUUAUUAAAAAAAGUGUUCCGC